AGGGGGGUUUUGCUAAAGUGAUAGUUUAACGGUUAAUCAAAGAGGGUCCAAGAGUACUAAUGUUUCUGAUUAUUAAUUUGGAAAUGUAUUUUUUUUUGGUUGGAGAAUAAUGUAAAUAGUACUUGUCACGUUUAAUGAUAAAAUAUUGAUUACCAAACUAAAAGGAUAAUGACGACAAUAACGUGGAAGUGAUGACGGAUCAACAUAAAGGAAAUACUUUGGGAUUGAUUA
Molecule: long non-coding RNA, 231 nt
Filed under: Brassica napus (rape)
Lineage: Eukaryota; Viridiplantae; Streptophyta; Magnoliopsida; Brassicales; Brassicaceae
Description: long non-coding RNA (BNAP_LNC020961)
Source: RNAcentral